This 69-nucleotide transfer RNA is filed under the name Ictidomys tridecemlineatus (thirteen-lined ground squirrel). RNAcentral's name for it is "Spermophilus tridecemlineatus (thirteen-lined ground squirrel) tRNA". It matches the Rfam family "tRNA". From Rfam's summary of the family: Transfer RNA (tRNA) molecules are approximately 80 nucleotides in length. Their secondary structure includes four short double-helical elements and three loops (D, anti-codon, and T loops). Further hydrogen bonds mediate the characteristic L-shaped molecular structure. tRNAs have two regions of fundamental functional importance: the anti-codon, which is responsible for specific mRNA codon recognition, and the 3' end, to which the tRNAs corresponding amino acid is attached (by aminoacyl-tRNA synthetases). tRNAs cope with the degeneracy of the genetic code in two manners: having more than one tRNA (with a specific anti-codon) for a particular amino acid; and 'wobble' base-pairing, i.e. permitting non-standard base-pairing at the 3rd anti-codon position. RNAcentral also lists the same sequence under 2 other names. Lineage: Eukaryota; Metazoa; Chordata; Mammalia; Rodentia; Sciuridae. The record is from Rfam by way of RNAcentral.
GGGGUUGUAGCUCAGUGGUAGAGCGCUUGCCUAGCAUGUGUGAGGCACUAGGUUCAAUUCUCAGCACCA